UGCCUUGUUCUUCAGCAAUUAGACACAACCUGCUGUGUGUCUGAAAUGGAAAACUUGGCUAGAAGAGUAACAGGUUUUGCUUUCCUCACUGUACACUUUGUUGCAGUGGUGACAAUGAGACCUGUAACAAGU
Small nucleolar RNA from Cinclus cinclus, 132 nucleotides. RefSeq annotates it as small nucleolar RNA SNORA1. The transcript has a single exon. The record is from RefSeq and is a predicted model, not a curated record. Lineage: Eukaryota; Metazoa; Chordata; Aves; Passeriformes; Cinclidae.